RNAcentral lists this ribosomal RNA (503 nucleotides) under uncultured bacterium. RNAcentral describes it as "partial 16S ribosomal RNA". It matches the Rfam family "Bacterial small subunit ribosomal RNA", at positions 29 to 523 of the family's 1533-position model. The record is from RNAcentral.
AACGAACGCUGGCGGCGUGUUUAAGACAUGCAAGUCGCACGGGAUAAGACAUGUAGUAAUACUUGUUUUAUUUAGUGGCGCACGGGUGAGUAACACGAGAAUUACAUGCCCUAUAGUGGGGAAUAGCCCAGGGAAACUUGGAUUAAUACCCCAUGGUAUCGAAAGAUUAAAGGUGGCCGCAAGGCUGUCGCUAUAGGAUUGGUUCGCGCCCUAUCAGCUCGUUGGUGAGGUAACGGCUCACCAAGGCAAUGACGGGUACCUGGUCUGAGAGGACGAUCAGGCACACUGGAACUGAGACACGGUCCAGACACCUACGGGUGGCAGCAGUCGAGAAUAAUUCGCAAUGGGGGCAACCCUGAUGGUGCAACGCCGCGUGGAGGAUGACGGUCUUCGGAUUGUAAACUCCUGUCAUCUGGGAGAAAGACCUGACGGUAAAUAGCCGGCAGGGUUGAUAGUACCAGAAGAGGAAGGGACGGCUAACUUCGUGCCAGCAGCCGCCGUAA